ACAUUCCUGUUACUUGGGUAUGAGAUUCGUAUAGUGAGGUUAAGCGGUAGAAGAGGAUUAUUUAGUUUGAAUGUUAUGAGGUUGAUGGGUUUUAUUGAACUGUGAUUUGAGGAUUUGGGAUGUUUUGUUCAUGUCGAUAGGUUCCUGUGAUUCCGCUCGUUUUCUCUUGGAUUUCUAUGGUGGAUUCCGGAAAUGUUCGCAGGGAUGUUUGCUCCUCUGGGAUUCACAGGAUUGAGUUGGGUUUUUGUGACGAUAGUUAGGUGACGGAGACAUAUCCUAGGAUGGGCUGGAGGGAAUGCAAACGGGGUAGUCGAGGAGACCUGAUGGAUUCACGGUACCGUCCAGAAGGCUCAGGAGUGCUCUGUAGUUUUUGGUCUGUUGGAAUAAAGUUGUUACUGGUGUACAUGGUCACACGGGUGUUUCAAUUGUUUUUGUAUUUUUGGAUAGUGAUGUUUUCUUUAUGAGGAGUAUAGUAUUUCACUGAGAUGGAUUUGUUCAAUGUCUUUUGUACGCUGGUCGUUAAAAAAAAAUAAUUUGCCUAA
Long non-coding RNA from Zingiber officinale, 542 nucleotides. RefSeq lists it as uncharacterized. The record is from RefSeq and is a predicted model, not a curated record. The transcript has 2 exons. Lineage: Eukaryota; Viridiplantae; Streptophyta; Magnoliopsida; Zingiberales; Zingiberaceae.